UGGAAAAUAGCCAAAGUAGCUGAGAAAGCAAAAGCUACUAGGGUAGACCAAAUAUGUCUUCCUUUUACUUUACAUAGUUACUGGUAGCUAGUCCUAGUCACCUUCUCUGUUAUCUUUUCUGGGUUUUCAUCUUUUAUGAGCAGGUGCAUCCUUCACUACUUGGGAAAAAUAUGUAGACCUUGUUGUUUAUUUUCAUGGAAUCACAGAACCACAAAAUGGGAUUAGAAGGGACCUUAAAUAUCAGCUAUUUUCAACUAGACCAGACAUUCUGAGGAAUGCCAUCCACUAGACCAGGUUGCUCAAAGCCCCAUACAACCUGGCCUUGAACCAGGUUGGGGGCAUCCACAACUGAAUCCAGGGCUGGGGCAUCCACAACUUCUCCAGGCAAUCUUUUCCAGUGCUUCAUAAUCCUAUAGUAAAGAAUUGCUGCCUAAUCUAUUCUAAACCUACUCUCUUUAAAGCCAUUCCCCCUUGUCCUAUCCCUGCUCACCCUAGUCUAAAGUCCCACUCCCGCUCUCUUGUUGGCCCCCUUCAGUAACUGGAGGGCUGCUAUAAGGUCUCUCCAGCACUUCCUCUUCUCCAAGGCGAACAGCCCCAACUGUCUUAGCUGGUUUGCGUUGGAGAGGUGGCUCCAGUUCUCAUCUUCAUGCCCCUCCUCUGGACUCCAACAUGUCAACAUCCCUCUCAUUUUUCAUAACAUCUGUUAAGUUCUCCACACUUGCAAUAUUUAUUGGAAUUUAUUACUGGGAUUUAUUACUGGGAUUCCAGAGACUGAAAGACUGGAAAUGUGGGGAAAGGAAAGAGGGUAAUUGAGCAUCCUCACAAAGCCAUCUACAGCAUGGAGUCGGGGAUAUUGCCAGUAUCAGAUCUGGUCAGUCAGCGGAUGCCACAAGCCAGAGCCUAUCCAUAUCACUCCCCACUUAGCUGUGCAUCCAGCACUUGCUAAUUUUCUGGCUAUUCUUACUGGCUUAUCAACAGUGGGUUUUAGAAGUUUUGAUGCCUCAUUUCCUUUCAAAGGCAGUUUCUUUGCCUUCAAAGUACAGGAAUCAUUAAUUAAGCAUAGUGCCCUCUUAGACACCUUUGUCAUUAAUUAUGAAUGAGAGCAGUCAAAUAUUCUAUCCUCAUAAUAAUGCCAGGAUUAGAUUAAUAUCAACUCUGAACUCUAGGAUGCCCUCCAAAGUUCAGAAACAAAAGAGCAAGUAAAAAAAGAGAAGUUUUAAUGGAAAGGACAAUUUUCUCUGUUAGUUGGCCUAAGGUGGAUGAUGACAGGUUUUUCAGAGCUUCAUCUGUCUCAAAAUUUGCUCUCACACUGAAUAAGCUGCACCAGUUCAUAUGGGAGGAACACUGAAUAUUCAUUAAAUGAGUGUCUAUUUUGUGACUUCCUGGCUAAAUUUUUUGCUCCAUAGGUUUUCUUUUACCAGCAAACAAAGCAUCUGGUCACAAAUCUACAGAACUACAUUCAAGAAUAUGUAAUCUUGUUCUUUUAAUAUAAUGUAAAAUGUGGCUUAUCCAUAUCAAUAGACUUUCCAUGGAAAACUCUGAGUUUCAAUGAAAAAUCAAGUGGUUUUCCAUAGUUAUUUACAAGUAAAAAAAUAUAAAUAUUGAAAAUUACAGAAGCAAAUUAUAUUUCUCAGAAGUAGGUUGUGUCUUGCUGUGGAAGACUUCACUGUCCUGUCUCAGCCUUACUCUCUGCAGCAGGUCAGCAAUGCCAGAGAAAGAGAGACUGUAAGAGGAAGAGGGAGAGAGAAAAUCCCAGUGCAUUCUUGAUGUGCUAAUUCUGAUCUGUGUAACACUGCCUGCAUUAAGGGCACUAGAUGAACUGUCCUAUUAGCUUCAGUUAGAAAGCCUAAAAUGGUGGUUUUCAGGGUCAACUGAUUCACCUUGGUCAUAUUAAUAAACUAUUUUAAUAAAUAUGAAUUAUGUCUAUAACUCCCAGAUAAAAUAUAUAUUAAGAUGCUACAUGCAAUAACCUUAUCUCAGCUUUAUAGUGACAUGAGGUAAUAACCAUAUGGUUAUGAAAAAUACAUUUUAAAGUUUGAAACUCCAGAUUAGAUUUAGCUGGUUUUUAAUGGCAUAUUUUUUUAUUAUAUAGAUAAAUUUUUUCUCACUAGGUAUUACUUUUGGACCAAAUUAAGACUGUGUGGUGACUUUAAUCUCAGUCUUCUGAUUUUAAAAUUAUUAGAAUUCUUAUAAGGGUAAAUUAAGUUUAAUUUGGAAGCCUUGAAUCCUUACAAUGGAUGUAAUUGCAAAAUUCCUAUAAAGUUUUACUUCUUUAUAUUAUUGAUACAUUUCCUGCUUUAGGAUCCUUAUUCUCCCCCUACAGAAUUAAAAAGUAGUUGAGAAUGCAUGCUGGUAUAUGCUAUCCCUAGCUGGGUGAAAAUGCAGGUUAUUAGAAAUAGCUAUUUUUUAUUAUUACAGUUUGCUUCAAGAGCAGAUUGAAGGUGCAUCUGGCCAGUGGAAAGCAAGUAGGGUGCUCUGACCCACGAACUGUGCUGCUGAACCAGAGAGCAGGAAAGCCAGUGUGACCUGAAAUUUCAGGCUCUGUUUUCCCAUUUGAAGCUGAAGGCACGGACAACACAAGCCCUGGCCUUGCUGGACUCCCUUUCCACACACAUCCCUCCCUGCACUGCUGUAACCAGGGAGGGAUGCAGGGUGUCAGAGCCACACGGAGCCCGCACAGGGCGGGUGUGCUGAAUCCACCCCUCACCUGGGGGCUGGUGUGCUUUCUGCCAAGCACUCAGGUGAUGGUUCACCCUGCUUCUGCUUCUGAUAGCCCUGCUUAACUACUUGCUGAGACGUUGUUCUGAAUAUCUGUUGUCUGUACGAUUACUGCAAACACAAUAAUAUUUAUUAAGCUAAUUUGAUUGCCAUGUAGGCAGAAUUUAGACGAAAUUUCAAUCCAUUUUAACUCUGUAGACACAGAGAAAGACUCUAUUGCUUUACUCUUACCUACAGUCACAUAGAAAGGAUGAACACAGAUGCUAAAUUUCCUAGAGGAACCGGUGUGUAAUUAAUAAAAGUUAAUUAAUGAUAUCAGUUCUUUGCCCAAAAAAUAAAUGUUGCAAUUCUGUGAAAAAUAUGUAGUCUUGGUCAAAGAAAGAAAAUAUGUUCAGUACCUUAUUUAAAUACAGAAUUAAAUUCCUUAACUCAGGAGCUAUGGCAAGGCUCUUCAUAACUGCAAGGAAGAAAUUAAAUUAAUAUAUCAUUAACAUACUGCCAUGUAGAAAUAAGUCACUGUUUAAACUGUAUUGUACUUUGCAAUAGUAGAAGAACUGAGAGGAAUUUGAUCAAGCCAGCAGACACAUUGCUUGUGACAUUGUUGGAGUGUAUCUCAGAAUUUUUGCUCCAUGUAUAUGAUUUUUCAUAAUCUGUGUUUCAGGAUGCUUGGUUAGCAUAAAAGUUUUACAAAAUGUCCCAGUCCCUCUCAACCAUUGCUAAGUCAAAAUUCUCUGAGUUUUUGCCAGGUUCUGACAUAAAAAAAUAUUUGGUGCUUAUUCUUAUGACCACAGUAAGUCGUCAUCAUUUUCACCAGAGCACACAAUAAAGCUUAAGACACAGACAAAAAAGCAAACCUAAGUGGAUGAAAGAAGAGAGACCUGGUGUUACUCUGUUUCUCUACCACUGUCACCUGUAGUGCAGCAACUAAGAAAUUCAUGGCAGCCAGUUGGUAUCAAGCUUUUACAAUGGUUACAAGAGUAUCUAGACUGAAAUCAAAUCUGACUCAGACUUGAAUCGAAAUUCCAGACAAAGUGCAUAGAGUAGAGCAUAGAGUAGGAACAGUAGUGAAAGAGCUUGGAACUGAGAGCAAAGAGAAGCAAGGUACAGGGAAAUGAUGUGCAGAGUAAUGGACUGAAUUGCUUCUAUUUAUAUGGGAGAAGUCCGCCAAAUCCAUCACUGAAAAGAGAUUUAUAACUUUUUGUCAUAGAUAUCAACAUUCCUAAUUUCUACGAUUCAUUUUCUCCUGAGAUAGAAUAGUUUUAAAGACCAAAGAGAGAAGACAAAACCACUUUUCAGAAAUCUCUCUAAACGCAAACUCAGUUUUUAGUCUAGUUCCCAUAAUUUAGAUGAGUAUCAUUCUGCAUUAGGAACAUUUUGUAAGCUUCUUUUACCUUUUCAGACUGGUCCAGACUCAUAAUCAUUUUGUAGAUCAGUAAUUACUAAGAUAUAUUUGGCAAAAUUAUAGUAUAGGAAUAUUAUAUUUAUGCAUGCCUCUAAGAAAACAAAUUAAAAAUUGAUGCGUUACAGAUGUCAAGAAACAUUUGAAAUUGUAAUUAAUCCAGGCUGAGAUCUGAAUUAUUCUUGUGAAAUUUAUGGCGCCCAACAAACUAAUACUUUCUCAAUAUUAUCAUGAUAACAUUUAUAAUUAAGUUGCCAAAAUAUUACUCUUUUGCCUGUGUUACUGUAAUGAUGAUGUAAAAUACCUUCAUAAAAACUCAACAUCAUUUAUACAAGAAUUACCAAGGAUUAGGGGGUUAGAAAUGAUUAGACUAUAAAGUCUAAAAUGACUAGAGAUCAGUUCAUAGGAUAUUUUAACACAGCUUUUACUCUAGAGACAGCUGGUACCAGAACUGAAUCAUCAUUUUGAAGUAGAACAUAAAUCUAAGCAUAAACACUUUCUAAUUUCCAUAAGUAUCUAUGAUAUUUACUUAAACUGAUACGGUUAUAAGCUCUUUUGACAGUUGUAGGCUCUGAUUUCAUACAAGUAUCUAUAUAAAAAGUCAUGUGAUCUGCCAAUAUUAUAAGCACUUUGAAAGGCAUUUAUGUGAAACAUUCUAAUAAUGCAAGUAUUUAUACACAUCCUGUUGCACUGCUAGCAUAGUUUGCAGCUUUAAAAAUUGUUUGCUAAGUUGUCUUUUUCUAUAGUAGACAUGUUACCCUUCCUCCCUUCCUUCACUUUUAUUUAAGGUUGUUUUGCCAUAAUGCCUAAUUGAGUAAGUGACAGGCCUUUAUUUUCCUAUGUAUGACUUCAAUAGAACACAUUAAAGUGAGUAUAAUAUGCAGUGUGUGAUAUUGUUACGUUUAGCUGAUUUAUUUCUUCCUCAAAAUGCAGCGUCAAGUUUAUAGGCCUACCAAAAAUUCACAACUAUAUCAGCAGCCAAAAUUGUCUUUCCUCUUGCAUUUUGAGAUUUCACUCUUACAGAUUCCUACCACUUACUUGAAGGUAUCCAUGAGAAGUUUGUGACUUUAUGGGGAAGUCAUGAGUUUUCAUUAUGAUUCAAUCAGUGGAUACAGCUAAAAUAGUUUGGUGGGUAUGUAAGAAAAGACCAAAGAUAUCCAAGAUUAGCCACCUUGAGAAUGUCACACUCACCUUAUGUAAUGGACUCAUUUAUUACUGGAAACAUUCACAUACCUCUUUUUAUUUUGGUUAUACUUCUCAGUCUUUCUUCACUGUGUGUUUUCCAGACACUGUGUUGGAUUUUUUUCCAGAACAAAUGCACGCACACACAAGAUAGGUUUGAGUUCAUAAUAUUUUCCUACCACUGUCUUUUUGCAUAUUUAUCAGGCUUUUUUCUUAUCCUUUUAGUCACAAAUUUUGCUGUGUGUUGUUUUGUCUGUUCGAGGUAUUUUCCAACUGAGCAAAUUAUGAUUUGCUUAUAGCCAAUGCAAUAAUAAAGAGAAAGCAUAAUUUUUCCUUAGAGGUGAAAAUUGGGGUCCCAGUGCCAAGAUGAUGAGCGAGGCUCUUUACUCUUGCUCUCAAAGGAAAUCUGUCUGCAGAUUAGGGGUUGUAAGUUGAAACCCUCAUGCAUAUUUCAAGCCCUUUAGCUGAUAAUAUCUUGAUACAGUGUCCACAAACAUUUGUCUUGAGGAUCCAGAUAGCCUAGAAUAAGUCACCUGAUUCAGUUAUUAUUGUUAGUUGCUUGCUAUGAGUUUAUAAGGCAAAAAAAUGGGGGCAGGGGGAGAGGAAUAACUAACUGAGCACAAAGAACAUAACCGAAGGAGAGAUGGUGAAGACUUCUUAAACUCUGGUGCAAAUAUCCAGGGACUUUACACUCAAAAGGGCAAAGAGGCAGUUUUUGUGAUUGCUUAAAUAAAAUAACUUAUAAACAGGCUGGAGUGUCCAGGCAUCCUGAGUUUUAUCUUCAGGUUCUCAGUACAAUCCAUCAAGACCUUUCCCUUUUCCAUGACAUUCCUUUUGGCUUCUUCCAGUAUGCUGCAAAUGUCCUUCUCUUCUGCAGUCAUGGUCAACCUUCCAGAAACGUGAAAAUCUCAUAAGGACUGCAUGUUCUAAUUGCUCCUCUGUAUUUUACAGGCAUUGAGCCUUCAUGAUACUGUGUAUAAAGGUAGCAAGACAAAUUUCAAGCGCCCAAGUUGAUCCAACAUAUCUCACAUCAGAAUUAACGCCUUCAAACCUGCCAGAGCUGGUAAAUGUACAUCCUUUUAAGAAGAAGAAAUGUGGAGCUGCUCUGUCUCGUUUCUGACUUAAUACUCUAAUCACUGAAGUUGUAUAAGAGAACAGAACCACCUGUUUUGAAAGAAGGCAUUAGCACUAUUGAAUUUUGUAGAGAGCGUAAGUUUAAAUCAAACGUGCCCUCAGACAACUUGCUAGCAUUUCAGGUCAAUGGGAUGAACACAUUCAUCUUUUCUCUACUACAACACACUUUUGCAUCUUCUGAGAAGUGAUGGACAGAAUUUACUACCAAAAACUGAGGUAUGUAAUGAGUUUGGCACAAAGCAUGACAAACAAAAGUGGCUAACUGAUUUUGACCAAGGAUUUGGUUAGUAUCCUGAUCUUCUACUGCCUUAAGCUGUUGCUAAAGUAGGAGAAAAAAAGGCAAGUACAUCCAACACCACUUCCCAGAGUCUAAAUAUGUUUAGCUUGAAUGAUUUUCCGACCUUGUUGUGCUUUGCCUGUUCAACAGCCAUCAAUGUACUUUUCUUCCAAGUCCUUUUUUCACUCCUCCCUAAAAACUGCUUGCACUCAAAAUACCUUGUAGCAAGAAGUUCUACAUGUCUCUCACCCACUAAUGGAAAAGUACCUACUUUUGCAAAUUUUUAAUCUGUCUUUCAGAAGCCCUUUAUUUUUGUGCUUGAAGGGAGAGUGAAUAGAUUACCUGAAUUCACCUUCUCUUUGGUGCUCAAAAUUUGGUAUUUCUAACAUAUCCUCUCUAAAUCACCUUUUUUUUCAUAAAUGAAGAGUCUUAUCCAACUGAGUUGUUCUUAAAAGGGAAAAUAUUUUUUGCCACUGCCUUUGCUUUUCUGGCUUUCAAAUUGCAAAAUAACCUGAGAAGUGGAGACUGUUAUAAACUGCAAUAUUCAUGGUAUGGACAGGAGGACAAUAAGGAUCUUUCAUUUAUUUUUCUAUUUCUUUUUCAAUGAUUAAUUUGGUAUGUAUUUCUGGUUCCUAUUGAGUAUAGAGCUGCUAUUGCCAUGAGACUAUCUAGUAUUACCACAGGAUCUCAAACUUGAGUGGUAAUAGUCACCUCAGAGUUCAGCAUCUCUUUCUAUUUACGUGCAAUGGAUUUUUAUAUGCCAUUUUGUUAACCAGUCACUCGUCUUCAUAGUGUUCUCCUUAAUUAUUGUGUUCUCUCACUGUCACUGCUGUGAAUUAUUUUGUAUCAUCAGCAAAUAUUCCCAUCUCACUGCUUCCCAGGUCGUUAUGACUGUUUUGAACAGCAUAGGUUCCAAUACUGACCCCUUGAAAAACUUUACUGUGACCUCCCUCCUUGCCAGAAACCUAUAUUCCGAUCACCUAGUCAAAUUUUAAAACUAUUUGACUAGUCAGUUUAAAUUAUGAUUAACCUAUGUGGUGAAACUCCUGACAUCACUGCCUAAGUUCCUUAAAGGUUUUUGGGGAGGGAUGUUUCUAGAAGCAUCGGUGAAGUCCAUCAUGCUUUGUCAGCAAGAGCACUUCUACAAACAUUUGUCAACACCUGCAAAACCUGCAAUAAGCAAAUUUCUCCUUCAUAUUGACUCACUUCAGGUAGGUUAUAUUGAUUUAUGUAAUUGCACAUACAUGUCUACUAAAUUUGUUCUACGAAAUUUGUACGUCUUUUAAUUGAUUCUGAUAAUUUUCUUGGAGUUAUUCAGGGACUUUUCAAGGCUGAAUAUAAUGUGUGCACAUCAAUUUAAUCUUACUUUAGAUAUCAAAGACAUUUUUUCACCUCUAUCUCUGACUGCAGUUGAUUGAAUCUAAAAUUAGUGGAUCAGUCUAAUUUGAUCUGUCUGAUUUCUUUCUUUUUAUAUUCUUAAAAUCCUCUUUUGAAAACUACCGACUAAAGUAGAAUGAAGUAAUUCACACUGUAUUUUCUAACCAUAAUUAUUAUAUAGCCACAUAACCCUAACAAUGCCAAAUUUGAGAGUAAAAUAUAUUUUUGUCCAUAAGAUAAAAAUGCUUUGAAAAACAAGCACAGAAAAGUUAUCAGCAUUCUCUUUUCAAAAAAAACCCCACCUCUGAAAUCAAAGAAUAGCAGUAUUUUGUACUGACUUGUCGCUCAUCUCUAAUCCACAUCUAGUUCAUACAUAUUCUGGCCAGCAACAACAUAUGCAGUCUGUCCCUUUAUCAUGGCAGACACCAAACACAGCAUUUUAAGUAAGUGUUUAGACUACAAGCAAUUAUUUUUAGUCAGCUUCUUAAAAGCUCCUUAAUUUCACUGAACACCAUUGAUAAGCCUCCCAUAUGUCUACUGAUGCUGUUGCCAUGGCUUCUGACAUGAUGACAUCGGGAUAUUAAGACACCCAGAAAUAACAGUUUGGGGAGUGAUUUUCGGGUAGUAUAUCUAAUUAAUUGAUGCUCCUGUUUGUGAGAGGAAGCUACUUGUACUACAGACACAUGCUGAGUGGGAUUCCACACAGGCUUGCCAAUUCACCUGACUCAUAACCCAUGUCUGUUCCCAUCUUGGCAUCAAAAGGUUUGUGACAAACUGUGUGCUGAUCUGUGCAAGAGAUAUCUCUGAUAGCUGAAAUUAUGCUACAGCUACAAUGCUCAUUUUAUAUUACUUUGACCAAAAAUAGUCUAAGAGCAGAUUACACUCACUGACUGCACUGUUCAUAAGAAGAAUGAACAAUCUCAGACAAGUCUGACAUUACACCCUGGUGGUAAUGUUAAUAAUGGACAAUAUGCAUGAUUUAAGUAAAUUAUAUACAUAUUUUAAAAAGUAAUAACUGUUUGAACUCUGGUUAUUAAAGCUUGGAUUAAAAAAAAAAAAAAUCAGGUUUCCAGCUUUGAUAUUUUAGAUAGGUAGGGUGCCAGUCAGGAGUGUGAAAAGUCAUAAAAUAACCUCAUUGUAGAGGAAUCAAGAUAUAUUGUAAACCUAAGCAAGCUUAAGUCCUGUGAGACUUCUAAUCAUGAUUUAUGGAUGAAAUUGACCUGGAUGUAUUAGGAUGAAUGUACAAUUUUUCAUACUUUGCCCUAUGAAACUCAGCUUCAAAGUAUUUUAAGUUAAUGCAUCUCUAACUGGGAAACAAAAAAGUGAUUUUCUUUCUUGAGAUAAAUGGGGGGCACCAAACAAGACAGAAGAACCCUGAAUCCAUCUUCCAAAAUUGCCUUUAAUGCAUGUUCCAUCAAAAUAAAUACUCAUGUUAUAAAGAUUUGUUCCUUCUAUAUGUUCUUUCCACUGUAUUUCUAAAUAUUAUUGACAGGGUGACAGAAUGUCUAUCUUUCACCUUUUCUUUAAUAUUGAUAAAAAUUCCAUAAUGAAGUUUUGCAAAAAAAAAAAUCUCAUGCAGAAUUUUGCAUCAGAGAUCUAUCUGAGAAGUAAUGGCAAGACAUCCUUGUAACCACAUAGACAAGCUCUUCAAAUCCUAAAUGAUUCACUUCACAAACGUCUUCCUUGACUACUGGAUAAUUGCAUACCACUUAGAAAAGGCACUUCAAUGUAUCAACAAUGCUGGUGUUGACAUCUGCCAAGGUAAUUUUGAUGCAGUCUUCUCUAAUUACUCAUUUUCAUGAAACACAUAGACUUAAAGUGUGCCUUACUUUCCUUAGAGAUGGCAAUAAUGGAAACCUAACAGCAUCUUGAAAUGCUUCCAGUGUCAUGAUAGAAGUUAUUCAGGAAUUAAUAUAGGCAUCAAGGGAAAGAGACAGGAUACUACACCUGAAUUUCAACCAAGCUAGGAAUCCCUGGACUUUUGUGCAUGUAGGCUGAAUAUGGAUGCUAUUUAGCUGUCUCCUAAAUGUACAAAUGAUGUAUUUCCCAGAUAACAACAUCCAUCUUGAAAAUGGAGUCUCAGACUAGAUCUCUAGACAUCUUAGGAAGACCAAAUGAUUGAAGAGGUGAAUAAAGACACUAAAAAAAAAAAAAAACAAUCUUAAAGUUUAGUAUGUACUACUUCAGCAGAGAGCUCCAAAAUGCUUCUGAGACAGAUAAGCAAGGAUACAACUGACUUUUUCUGAAUGUACUGAAGCAGAUCUGGAACGUGACCAAACAGAUGCAGAAGCCAUGCUUAAAAUAUUUGAGAACAACUGACUGCUGAUCAGAUUGAUCUUUUCCACCUGUCAGCUAGUCAUCUACUUCUAUUAGACCUUGAUGAUUUACUUGAGUUUACAUGAUAAAAAAAAAAGUUUAAAAUAUGACUAUUUCUAAAGGAAUCAUCCUGACAGGGAGAUUAUCUUUAAAAAAUUCUUUGAUGAUUUAUCCUGAACUAAAAUUGGUUUUAGAUAUCAACUCAGCAAAAAUGGAAGGAGAAGGAGGGAGACAGAAAGGUCGAGUAAACAAACCACUCAGUAAAAGUAAUAUUCUGUGAAACAAAACUUUGAUAAUACAGAGAAUUGUAGCCAACCAGUUUGAAGAACUGAACAUUGUUAGAAAAUUGCGUCAUUUUCCUAUGAGUCAUAUAAUCCAGCUCAGCUUUACAGUUUCCUGUAUUAAAUAUAAUUUUGAGCAAUAAGGUGCUAGAAUGAAAAAAUAUAUAUAUAAUAGUUAGUGCAAUAUGGGAGGUUGUUGUUACCAAGAACACAGCUUUUCUUACCAAGAUACUGGUCAGCAACAUUUACCCUAUUAAAUCAAAGCAGACAGUUAGAUACACUCAUUUUAAAAAGUAUCAUUAUAAUCUGCUACUCUGAGUGGUACAAACAGCCAAAAUUCCAGAGACUAACAUCCAUAGUACAUUUUCCUCUGGUUUGUGUUUUAAAAGGUGAAAAUAUGAGGGGAAUGAAAGUACGGAAAGUAAAAUUCUUCCUUUGGUUUGUUCUGUACCUUUGAUAUAGCAACAUCCAGAAAAUGCCAGCUUUUGCCCUUUCGGUCAGCAACUGAGUCCAAGGACAGCACUCUACAAAUGGCAGCAUUUGUGCCACUGAAUCUGAAGCCAAGGACCUGUUAAGAUAUGCCAUUUCUUUUGCUUACCUAUGACUUAAGAGCAUCUAUUUCUUCAUCUGCUGAAAAGAAACAGUAUAAGACAGAGCAUUAGCUAAAGUAUGUUCCUUUGCUCUGCACAGAAGCAUGUUUUAUAGAAUUAAUGGUGGAUGACACUAUAGACUGUGAUAGUGAAUGUGAAGUAUUUUUCUCACAUCAGUACAACCAUGAAAGAAAAAUAUUGUUAUGCUUUUAUAACCUGUCCAGUUAGUGUGUGUAUAAAUUGUAAUGGUUUACAAUACUUGGGCACCCACAAACACAUACAACCUAAAUGUCAUCUUCACAAUAUUAUCCCACAAUUUAAAAUACUUAUUUCCUCUGAAUCCCUCUUUAUUUGAUUUACCUCCUGCACAUUUCUUUUUAUGAUUAGCUGUAGCAAAAAUAAAUCUGGAGUAGUAAAGAAAACAUUUUGCUGCAGCAUAUUAAUUGUUUCUGACACCUUCUGUCUGAAGCGGAUGGACGAUCUCAAAGCAACUGAAGAGUUUAUAGGAGAGACUCUUCUCUAGCACACAAUGAAGACACUUCACUUUUCAAUGCUGAAAAUGAUGAUCUCAGAAGAUAUAGAUAAGGGAAUCAUUAACAGUAUAGUGAAAAGAAUGCUUACUUCACUUUAUUUCUGGUAUCUAACUCUUGUCCAUGUUCACUGAAAAGAAAUUCUAGUGAAAAUAUUACCAAAUAUAAUCAAAAUGUCAUUGCAUGCUCGUACUAAUGAUUAUCCCAUUGUUUUGAAAAUAUUUGAACACAAAUCCACAUUAUUGGCUUAUUUAAUUUAUUACACACUGUAUGAGAAGAGAGAGUAGUGUGUUUUCUGGAGAGCCACAGGCUAAAACAUAUUUACACAAAUCAUCUGUCAAAUGCUUAACUAAUAAUCAUUUACACUCGAAAACACUGCCAUUGAUUCCUCAAUUUGUGGAAAGAAGAAGUAGAGAAUUACUUGAGCAAUGGGUUUGCAAUUACUCCAUUGUCCCCUGCUAUACAGCAGUGUUGCCAGCUGCUCUCCAGCUCCAGGAAUUUAGUAAUGGUGAUUGCGUAAAAGCAAAGAAAAAAAAAUGUUUGUUUGAACAAAUGUGGUUGAGUCGGCAUGAAUGGCAUUUAGAAAGAAACUUCAGAUGCCAGCCUUGGAUGUUGUGCCAAGUUCCAACAACUCAAAGAAGGCCUCCUGCAGGUGAAGGUUUGGCUUUUGGCUUGUCCAGCAGCUUCAAGAAGCUGCUGCAGUGAGACAGUGGCAUGUCAGCUAUAGCUGGCAUGGAGGAAAAUGUGUUUCCUAUAAGCUUCAUUGAACUCUUUAAAAAAACACACCCACUCGCGCAAAUCUAGAUUACCCUCCCAAUUAAUAUGGAAUAUAGCCUGCACAGCAGUUCUUCAAGCAUACAGCAUUAAUCCCACAGAUUAGAAAGGGAUAGGAAAUUAAGAACAGAUGUUUCAUCGCAGUGCUGUGCUAAUGAUGACUGAAUUAGUGCCAAGAGAACUAAUAUAUCCACAGGAUAUCCAAUACUGCCAAGCCUGAAUUCUCAAUUACCUUAUACAUGACAUUAUGCUUCCAGAUCCAAAACCAUCUUAUUCAGAGCUCUGGGAUUUCUUAACAGCAGUGCAUUGCACUUUAUGGACAUCUCUAGUGUCUCUUGAGAUUACUGUCUGUUUCCCUCAUUCCACCAUCUGCGCUGUGCAUGGUCUGCUACAUCAGGGAACAUUUCAGCAAGCAAGGUCUACUCUGACUGAGCUGAUUGCUGAGACUCAUGCAUUGUCCUCUGCACUGCACCUCUCACAGAACAUCCCAGGUAAAAGGGACCGACGGUGCUCUCUCCCAGGAAAUCCUUGGUGCCAGCAUCCACCCAUGAAACCCAUCAAAGCUAGACAUUGGGAGCAGCUCUCUGGCUCACAUUUCAGACUUGUGGGGGGUCACUGUUUAAGGGUGUGUGGCACACUAUGAGAUGCAAGCAGAACAUUUUAAAAGCAGCUUUGCAGGAAAAGACUUGGUUCCUUUGCCCAGCAAGCUGAACAUCAGCUAAUAAUGUGACCUUGCAGUGAAGGUGGCAAACAGUACAUGCUGGGCUCCAGCAUUAUGAGGAGUGCUUCCAGAAGAUCGAAUGAAGUCAUCUUUUCCUUUACUCAGCCCUGGCAAGGCCACACAAUGGAGUACUGGGUCCAGUUCUGGGCUUCUCACUACAGGAGAAACAUGGACAUGCUGGAGACAGCCUAGCAAGGGACCACAAAGGUGACUAAGGGACUGGAACAUCUCUCCAACGAGGAAAGGCUGAGAGAGCUGGGACUGUUCAGCCUGGAGAAAGGCUCAGGGGGGAUGUCAUCAUUGUAUAUAAAUAUCUCAAGGGAAUAUGCAGAGAACAGAUUCAGUGUGGUUUCAGUGCUGCUCAGUGACAGGACCAGAAGACAACACAGGAGGUUCUCUUUGAACAACAGCAAACAUUUGCUCAUUCUGAGGCUGAUGGAGCAUAACAACAGGUUGUGUACAGAGAGCUUGUGGAGUCUCCCCCUCUGGAGAUAAUAAAAUGUCAUCUGGACAUGGUCCUGUGCAGAUGGAUUGAAAUGUCCCUGCUUAAGCAAGGGGAUUAGAACAGAUGCCCUCCAGAGGUCCCUCCCUACCUCAACCAUUCUGUGAUUCCCUGAAUUGGAGCAGAGCUGCAGCCUUGGGGUUUCUAUGCCCAGGUCCUCAUAACUGGUGAGAAUGAGAUCCUGGAGCAGCUGCUGGGCAGACUAAGCAUGUGUGCCUUGCUACUGGAAGGAAUCACAGUCCUUAUAUAUAAUAUUUAUACUACUAGAGACGACCUCUACACUGCUCAGCCAGAGAAGGGAACAGGAUGAAGCCGUUGGUGCUGUUUGUGUUCAUGUCUGUCUGUACUCUGAGUGGCAGGCCCUGUAUGUACAGGUGUGUGGUGUAUCCAGGUGCUCCAUGUGCUUCUGCAUACUGUGAAAACAUUUUCAGACUUGCUACCUGUUGGACCUGGGGACACUACAGGAGCCUCACCUCCGUUGGGCUGUCAGAUACAGCAUAAUAUAUUUUCCUCUGACAGAACUAGUUAAAGUAAAAAAUGUUAAUUUUGUAGCUUCCUUUUACCUUCUGAAUCUUUGACUUAAGUCAGCGUUAGGUUUUUUUUCCAUCCUACUUCAUCCAUUCUGUAAAGUUAUAAAGUUGGUAAAAGGUAACAACAGCUCUGCUCAG
Corvus hawaiiensis (hawaiian crow) is the source of this 14469-nucleotide long non-coding RNA. RefSeq lists it as uncharacterized. NCBI's taxonomy places the organism in Eukaryota, Metazoa, Chordata, Aves, Passeriformes, Corvidae. The record is from RefSeq and is a predicted model, not a curated record. The transcript has 3 exons.